AGGGAGAUGCCAGUCUUUCAAAGUCUUCUUUGCUAUUCUGAACAAUUAAAGUAAUUAAUUACAGCAGAGUGGAAACUGCUUUGGUGAUUAGUUAGCCCCAUCAGUACCAGUCCCCCAAAUCUACACCCUUACCGCUCGUGUUAAACAGGGCAACUAACGUGUUUUUCCCUCUUCACCAGAUAAUAAAAAGAAAAUGCUGAUGCACUGCUCAUUGGGCUUCUGUCCAAACAUCAUUAUGUUCAUUGCGUUCAUGCUAUAUGGUGUGAAACAGGGUUUUGUGGGUGAAAUAGUUACGUGUGCAACUGUAAAUCUGGUUCGAUUUCUUCUGGUUUUCAAGACUGCUCCCUAUCUGGACAUACUCCCAGCAUGUCCAAAAAAAUAUAUCAAAGGAAUGGGUGUCAUGCUUCAAUAUCUAAUCACUGCUGGAGCAUUAUUUUCAGGUAAAUAUGAGUUCUUAGUGUGGCAUAAUGAACAUAUUCACAUCAUAAGGAUCUAUCAUUUAUCAUUCAUGGCCUUUGCAUUCAUCAUCAUGGGACAGGUCACAGACAAAUGUCAUAAACUAGGGGGUGAUAUGUUGUCUAAGUAUCUUAAUAAGUAUCUGACUUAGCUGGAAGAAUCUAACAUUAACAUUUAAUAUAUGGCAUCACAUUAAAGUGUAAACUAACACAAACAGGCAAUAUAAGAGAUAAAUCAGUAGCAAGAAGAGCUACACACACAUAAAUGCAGCACAGUUCAGUGUCUAACCAAUAACUUGUGCCCUUUUCUGUCCCUCAGGUGUUUUUGCAGACAUUUCAGUCAUCGGCAUUAACACAUAUUUUCUGGUGUUCGCUAUUGGGAUGAACUUAUUCUUCAAUGUUAUCCGAGCUUUCUUUGGUAUGAAAGAGGGUCAUCAAGUUUUUUGUCAUGUUAUAUAUUUCCCUAAAGGAAGACAACAGAACCAUCCCUAUAUCAUUACAACAGUAUCAACCACGGCUGUGUGUGGUGUUGCUAGUGUUGCAUGAAUAAGUUGGAUGGUUAUCAUUUUAGUAGAGUUAUUUAAAUUCUUGUAGGUCUUAUUAUUGUGUGGUCCCAUUGAAAUAUGUAGAAGCCCAACUGAUUGUUUCACAUGACAUAUGGCAUUUAUACAUUGAUCAGUAGAGGAUAUCAUUCUUAAAUAUCUUAGUAACUGUGAUGUUUGUCCCCAUGCAAUUUUUAUUGAACUUCUGGGACAAAAACAGGAACCAGAUGGCUGGAGAUGUGUUGCAGUUGCUGAUGCAGAUCAGAAACGGAGUUAAUAUCUAAAUGCUUUACCUCCUUACAGGUGGUGUUGAGAAUUUUGGAUAUUGGUGCUUUACAUAUGUGGACAUAAUCAACUGGAUCCUGCUGUGGCUGCUUGUUGUUGGAUAUUCAACCUUCAAUUUAAGUAUGUUCAUCACCACAUUAACUGUUACUCUUGGGGUGGAUGUGCUGUUUCAUUGUCAAGAUUUCUACUAUAAGUGGGGUAAGUUGUAUAUUUCACAACUCUGAUUUUAAGUGUUCAAAUACCAUCUCAUCUAAAUCUAUUUCAUUACAAUUCCUCCAUCAAGGUAUUCUACAUAAUGUUCUGUGUAAUUUUGGUGUUUGGCCUAACCACCUCAUACUAAAAAGAAGUAAUAUUUUCUUUCUGUGUUAUGACAGAGGCAAUUUGGACAAUCCUCCUAGUUCCCCUAUUUCCUAUUUGGAUCAUUACAUUUUUCUAUUACCUUUAUUUGAUUUUGGCCAAUAAACCAGAGGGUCUUGGGCUGAUGUGUGGCUGUGCACUGCUCUACAGUCUUACUGCUGUUUCAGGGUUUGACCAUCCCAGUACAGCAGCAGGUACAAUGCUAACAAUUCAUUAACAAUCAUGUUGUGAAAUUCAUGAAAUGACAUUGUGGAUCACAUACAGAAGUCAAGGCAGGCAAUUCUCAUUCCCCAGGUGCUUUAUAGAAAUCAACACCUGAAUCCCCUAAAGCAAAAAAAUAUCCUUACCAUUGGUACUACUACAAAUGUUCAGAGACCCUUUAUUAAUAAUAUUGAAUGUUGUAUUGAACAUCACCCUGCAGUAUAAUGUUUAAUACAGGAGAACUGACCAUGAUAUUUGUGUG
This is a long non-coding RNA of Clupea harengus (Atlantic herring), 2102 nucleotides long. RefSeq lists it as uncharacterized. The record is from RefSeq and is a predicted model, not a curated record. The transcript is spliced from 5 exons. NCBI's taxonomy places the organism in Eukaryota, Metazoa, Chordata, Actinopteri, Clupeiformes, Clupeidae.